RNAcentral lists this ribosomal RNA (395 nucleotides) under uncultured bacterium. Its description in RNAcentral is "partial 16S ribosomal RNA". It matches the Rfam family "Bacterial small subunit ribosomal RNA", at positions 523 to 918 of the family's 1533-position model. The record is from RNAcentral.
AUACGUAGGGUGCAAGCGUUAAUCGGAAUUACUGGGCGUAAAGCGUGCGCAGGCGGUUUUGUAAGACAGAGGUGAAAUCCCCGGGCUCAAACUGGGAACUGCCUUUGUGACUGGAAGGCUAGAGUACGGCAGAGGGGGAUGGAAUUCCGCGUGUAGCGGUGAAAUGCGUAGAUAUGCGGAGGAACACCGAUGGCGAAGGCAAUCCCCUGGGCUUGUACUGACGCUCAUGCACGAAAGCGUGGGGAGCAAACAGGAUUAGAUACCCUGGUAGUCCACGCCCUAAACGAUGCCAACUGGUUGUUGGGUCUUCAUUGACUCAGUAACGAAGCUAACGCGUGAAGUUGACCGCCUGGGGAGUACGGCCGCAAGGUUGAAACUCAAAUGAAUUGACGGGG